RNAcentral lists this ribosomal RNA (252 nucleotides) under uncultured bacterium. RNAcentral's name for it is "partial 16S ribosomal RNA". It matches the Rfam family "Bacterial small subunit ribosomal RNA", at positions 524 to 775 of the family's 1533-position model. The record is from RNAcentral.
UACGUAGGUGGCAAGCGUUGUCCGGAUUUACUGGGCGUAAAGAGCGCGCAGGCGGUCGAUCAAGUCGAGUGUGAAAGCCCCCGGCUCAACUGGGGAGGGUCAUUCGAUACUGAUCGACUCGAAGGCAGGAGAGGGUAGUGGAAUUCCCGGUGUAGUGGUGAAAUGCGUAGAUAUCGGGAGGAACACCAGUGGCGAAGGCGACUACCUGGCCUGUUCUUGACGCUGAGGCGCGAAAGCUAGGGGAGCAACGGG